RNAcentral lists this unclassified non-coding RNA (399 nucleotides) under uncultured Actinomycetes bacterium. RNAcentral's name for it is "uncultured actinobacterium contains 16S-23S intergenic spacer region". The record is from RNAcentral. Lineage: Bacteria; Bacillati; Actinomycetota; Actinomycetes.
UCCGAGUUGUCCCCGGCAGUCCCUCUAGAGUCCCCGGCAUUACCCGCUGGCAACUAAAGGCAGGUGCUGCAUGGCUAAUCGACGAUAUGAGCCGGUGUUUCCUCAGGGGAUUGCUCCCCUGGGGGCCAAUCGUCGAUUAGCCAUGCAGCACCUGUGCUAGCCCCUUACGGACACGGGCUUUCACCCGCUUUAACUAGCAUGUCAAGCCCAGGUAAGGUUCUUCGCGUUGCAUCGAAUUAAGCCACAUGCUCCGCCGCUUGUGCGGGCCCCCGUCAAUUCCUUUGAGUCUUAGCCUUGCGGCCGUACUCCCCGGGCGGAGUGCUUAAUGCGUUAGCUGCGGCACAGAACGGGUUGAAGACCACCCCACACCUAGCACUCAACGUUUACGGCUGGGACUAC